UGGGGAAUAUUGGACAAUGGGCGAAAGCCUGAUCCAGCAAUGCCGCGUGAGUGAUGAAGGCCUUAGGGUUGUAAAGCUCUUUUACCAGGGAUGAUAAUGACAGUACCUGGAGAAUAAGCUCCGGCUAACUCCGUGCCAGCAGCCGCGGUAAUACGGAGGGAGCUAGCGUUGUUCGGAAUUACUGGGCGUAAAGCGUACGUAGGCGGUUAUUCAAGUCAGAGGUGAAAGCCUGGAGCUCAACUCCAGAACUGCCUUUGAAACUAGAUAGCUAGAAUCACGGAGAGGUUAGUGGAAUUCCGAGUGUAGAGGUGAAAUUCGUAGAUAUUCGGAAGAACACCAGUGGCGAAGGCGACUAACUGGACGUGUAUUGACGCUGAGGUACGAAAGCGUGGGGAGCAAACAGGAUUAGAUACCCUGGUAGUCCACGCCGUAAACGAUGAUAACUAGCUGUUCGGUCUCUACGAGCCUCAGUGGCGCAGCUAACGCAUUAAGU
RNAcentral lists this ribosomal RNA (493 nucleotides) under uncultured bacterium. RNAcentral describes it as "bacterial SSU rRNA". It matches the Rfam family "Bacterial small subunit ribosomal RNA", at positions 355 to 865 of the family's 1533-position model. The record is from RNAcentral.